Molecule: ribosomal RNA, 496 nt
Filed under: uncultured bacterium
Lineage: Bacteria
Description: bacterial SSU rRNA
Rfam family: Bacterial small subunit ribosomal RNA
Source: RNAcentral
AGAGUUUGAUCAUGGCUCAGGAUGAACGCUAGCGGCAGGCCUAAUACAUGCAAGUCGAACGCUCAGUAGCAAUACUGGGAGUGGCGCACGGGUGCGUAACGCGUACACAAUCUACCUCUAAGCGGGGGACACCUCCUGGAAACGGGGAUUAAUACCGCAUAAUAUGCCGAAGUCGCAUGACUUUGGUAUUAAAGCAGCAAUGCACUUAGAGAUGAGUGUGCGUCCCAUUAGGUAGUUGGUGAGGUAACGGCUCACCAAGCCUAUGAUGGGUAGCCGGUCUGAGAGGAUGGUCGGCCACACGGGCACUGAGACACGGGCCCGACUCCUACGGGAGGCAGCAGUAAGGAACAUUGGUCAAUGGUGGAAACACUGAACCAGCCAUGCCGCGUGGAGGAAUAAGGUCCUACGGAUUGUAAACUCCUUUUGACGAGGAAGAAAAUGUUAGAUUUAUCUAAUUUUGACGGUACUCGUAGAAUAAGCACCGGCUAACUCCGUG